GAGGACGACAGAGAACAGUGGACACAGUUUAACAUGAUGGACUAUAGGACAGGACUGCUGCUUUUAACUCUCUGCUGGGCAGGUGUUGAUGGUCAGACUCUGACAGAAUCUGAACCAGUGGUUAAAAGGCCUGGAGAAUCUCACAGAUUGACCUGUACAGCCUCUGGAUUCACAUUCAGCAGCUACUGGAUGGCCUGGAUCAGACAGGCUCCUGGAAAAGGACUGGAGUGGGUUGCCAGGCUUAAUAGUGCCAGUAGCAGCAUCUACUACUCUCAGUCAGUUCAAGGCCGGUUUACCAUCUCCAGAGACAACAGCAGACAGCAGCUGUAUCUGCAGAUGAACAGUCUGAAGACUGAAGAUUCUGCUGUUUAUUAUUGUGCUCGAGAGCCACAGUGACUGGAGUUGGUUGAGCAGCUGUACAAAAUCCUACAGGACUCCUUCUUACGGGACUGA
This is a non-coding RNA of Siniperca chuatsi (mandarin fish), 453 nucleotides long. NCBI's taxonomy places the organism in Eukaryota, Metazoa, Chordata, Actinopteri, Centrarchiformes, Sinipercidae. The record is from the annotation of a RefSeq genome assembly.